AAUUGAUGGAGGAAAUGCGAUUAUUAGAAAGAAACUAUGUCCUAUUUUGCGAUAACAAAGCUGACAUCAGUAUGGUUCAUAAUCCAGUUCAACAUGAUUGGACUAAGCAUAUAGAGAUUGACAAACAUUUUAUAAAAGAAAAAGUUGUCAAUAGUUCCUUAAAUAUCUCUUAUGUAGGGUCGAAAAACCAGUUGGCUGAUGUGUUCACUAAGGGAUUACGUUGUAAGGAGUUUCAUACCCUAGUUUGCAAGU
RNAcentral lists this unclassified non-coding RNA (252 nucleotides) under Hevea brasiliensis (rubber tree). The record is from RNAcentral. Lineage: Eukaryota; Viridiplantae; Streptophyta; Magnoliopsida; Malpighiales; Euphorbiaceae.